CAGCAGCCGCGGGAAUACGGAGGGAGCUAGCGUUGUUCGGAAUUACUGGGCGUAAAGCGCACGUAGGCGGCUUUGUAAGUUAGAGGUGAAAGCCUGGAGCUCAACUCCAGAAUUGCCUUUAAGACUGCAUCGCUUGAAUCCGGGAGAGGUGAGUGGAAUUCCGAGUGUAGAGGUGAAAUUCGUAGAUAUUCGGAGGAACACCAGUGGCGAAGGCGGCUCACUGGACCAUUACUGACGCUGAGGUGCGAAAGCGUGGGGAGCAAACAGGAUUAGAUACCCCUGUAGUCCCUGUCUCUUAUAU
This 301-nucleotide ribosomal RNA is filed under the name uncultured bacterium. RNAcentral describes it as "partial 16S ribosomal RNA". It matches the Rfam family "Bacterial small subunit ribosomal RNA", at positions 509 to 809 of the family's 1533-position model. The record is from RNAcentral.